RNAcentral lists this ribosomal RNA (496 nucleotides) under uncultured bacterium. RNAcentral's name for it is "bacterial SSU rRNA". It matches the Rfam family "Bacterial small subunit ribosomal RNA", at positions 28 to 513 of the family's 1533-position model. The record is from RNAcentral.
GAUGAACGCUAGCGGCAGGCUUAACACAUGCAAGUCGAGGGGCAGCAUGACACGGAGAUUCGUCGAAGUGUUGAUGGCGACCGGCGCAAGGGUGCGUAACGCGUGAGCAACUUGCCCGUUUCAGGGGGAUAACCGGUGGAAACGCCGACUAAUACCCCAUGGCAUCAUUGGGAGGCAUCUCCUUCUGAUUAAAGAAUUUCGGAAACGGAUAGGCUCGCGUGACAUUAGCUGGAUGGCGGGGUAACGGCCCACCAUGGCUACGAUGUCUAGGGGUUCUGAGAGGAAGGUCCCCCACACUGGAACUGAGACACGGUCCAGACUCCUACGGGAGGCAGCAGUGAGGAAUAUUGGUCAAUGGCCGGGAGGCUGAACCAGCCAUGCCGCGUGAAGGUCACGGCCCUAUGGGUCUUAAACUUCUUUGUAAGGAGCAAUAAGGGUCACGUGUGGUCCGAUGAGAGUACCUUACGAAUAAGCAUCGGCUAACUCCGUGCCAGCA